AUGGAACCAUACAUCUUUAAGUCUUUAGCAUCAUAUCUUAGAAGGAAAGAAUUGAUAAAAGACACAAGGCUCAAGGUGGAGGAGAAGUUAGCAUUCUUCAUGUACAUGUUCUCACAUAAUUCAUCAUAUGAAGAUUUUCAACUAGAAUUCAGACAUAGUGGAUCCACCUUUCAUGAGUACAUCAACGAGUUCUUUGAUAUCAUCCCUGCCCUAUGUACUCACUUUGUGGAGCCUCCGCCCAUUGACGAACCUCAUCCAAUAAUUGCUACCGAUGAACGAUUAUAUCCAUACUUCAAGGUUCUUAUCUUGACACUUAAAAAGAAUCCCUUAUCUUUCUUCAUUAAAAUUUCAAAAAUUAAUUUGCAGUCUAUUUUUUCAGAAUUGUAUAGGUGCUAUUGA
RNAcentral lists this ribosomal RNA (399 nucleotides) under Triticum aestivum (bread wheat). Its description in RNAcentral is "partial small subunit ribosomal RNA". Lineage: Eukaryota; Viridiplantae; Streptophyta; Magnoliopsida; Poales; Poaceae. The record is from RNAcentral.